RNAcentral lists this ribosomal RNA (484 nucleotides) under uncultured bacterium. Its description in RNAcentral is "partial 16S ribosomal RNA". It matches the Rfam family "Bacterial small subunit ribosomal RNA", at positions 30 to 507 of the family's 1533-position model. The record is from RNAcentral.
AUUGAACGCUGGCGGCAGGCCUAACACAUGCAAGUCGAGCGGAUGAAGGGAGCUUGCUCCUGGAUUCAGCGGCGGACGGGUGAGUAAUGCCUAGGAAUCUGCCUGGUAGUGGGGGAUAACGUCCGGAAACGGGCGCUAAUACCGCAUACGUCCUGAGGGAGAAAGUGGGGGAUCUUCGGACCUCACGCUAUCAGAUGAGCCUAGGUCGGAUUAGCUAGUUGGUGGGGUAAAGGCCUACCAAGGCGACGAUCCGUAACUGGUCUGAGAGGAUGAUCAGUCACACUGGAACUGAGACACGGUCCAGACUCCUACGGGAGGCAGCAGUGGGGAAUAUUGGACAAUGGGCGGAAGCCUGAUCCAGCCAUGCCGCGUGUGUGAAGGAGGUCUUCGGAUUGUAAAGCACUUUAAGUUGGGAGGAAGGGCAGUAAGUUAAUACCUUGCUGUUUUGACGUUACCAACAGAAUAAGCACCGGCUAACUUCGUG